RNAcentral lists this transfer RNA (99 nucleotides) under Nocardia farcinica. RNAcentral describes it as "tRNA-Glu". Lineage: Bacteria; Bacillati; Actinomycetota; Actinomycetes; Mycobacteriales; Nocardiaceae. The record is from RNAcentral.
GUUGCCCGUGGCGGAAUGGGCCGAGCUGCGCCGCACCGCUCCGGUGUGGUGGGUCGACCAGCCCGACGGCACCAGCGGGUUCGACGACGGCGGGUACUG